GUAUUUCAUUGCGUUAAACGCGGCAUACAUUCCAUGAGACUUUUGUUACAGUGUGUGUGUAAAGACAUAGAACCACAGCAGGAGGACGGAGCCCCCCACGCCAUAGAACUACAGAGGGUGCACAGGUGUGAGUGGAUGUGUAAACAGAGCGUGCACAUGCCCCCAUACGGAGACCAGCAACAACUCUUGUUGACAGUUCAGUAAUGAUCCUUCCGCAGGUUCACCUACGGAAA
This 233-nucleotide unclassified non-coding RNA is filed under the name uncultured fungus. RNAcentral describes it as "sequence contains ITS1". Lineage: Eukaryota; Fungi. The record is from RNAcentral.